GCACAUUUGCAAUAAACUCUCUCUCAUAAGUGGAUAAUGUUUCGUUUCUAGGACCUAAUGAUUGGCUGGAGAAGGCAAUAGGUUUACCUUAUUUGGCAUGACUGGGGCUGUGGAGAUCUCAUCACUUGUUUCAAUUGACUAAAAGCAUCUUGGGCACUAGGCUUCCAGCACAAGAGCAAAGAACAACCCAUGAAACAAGUACUGCAACCUAUACUUAUCUGUGUAACGUGAAGAUCGUCCACGGUGAAAGGUCAAAAUUUGCUUUCAAUAGCGCGAGAACUUCACUCAGGGAAGACACCUUGAAAUUUGGUUUCAAUUCGAAAUUGGCAUUUCUGGAGAGUCGUACCUCCCACUUUCAUCAAGCAAGCACGCAACAAGCUCCCGCGCGCUUCCCACAAACCACCUGCAAAGUCAGGCAAUCAAUUGUUCAUGGCUUCUCCAAGUACUAUUUAUGUCACAUCAAACAAGAUUAGACAGAAGCUCAGAAAUGUCAAACAUUGUGCAGGUUCAAUGCAGAUGUUCAGGUCCAUUUGAUUAUCGGUUCAUUCCUUCAAUUAUAAAAUCAUUCUAUUCCUUUCCA
Long non-coding RNA from Pyrus x bretschneideri (Chinese white pear), 580 nucleotides. RefSeq lists it as uncharacterized. The record is from RefSeq and is a predicted model, not a curated record. NCBI's taxonomy places the organism in Eukaryota, Viridiplantae, Streptophyta, Magnoliopsida, Rosales, Rosaceae. The transcript has 2 exons.